AAGUAUCGCUCGAUCUUGAAAUAUGAUGGAAAUUAGGCUAUGUUUAUAUGAUUGUAACAAGGAUAGGCUCGAAUUAGUGAAUAUUGAGGAAUUAUAGGUUCGGUUAAUCAAGAAGAUAAAUAAAGAAAAUGGUUGGUGAAAGAUAGAAGUGAAUGGGCUUAAAGAUCAAGAGUGAACCAACACUAUAGUUGAGUGUCUA
This 199-nucleotide long non-coding RNA is filed under the name Gossypium barbadense (sea-island cotton). RNAcentral's name for it is "long non-coding RNA (GBAR_LNC018497)". The record is from RNAcentral. Lineage: Eukaryota; Viridiplantae; Streptophyta; Magnoliopsida; Malvales; Malvaceae.